UUGGGGGGAUUUACCCCUUAGUGGCGAAGCUAACGCGUUAAGUUAUCCGCCUGGGGAGUACGGCCGCAAGGUUAAAACUCAAAGGAAUUGACGGGGACCCGCACAAGCGGUGGAGCAUGUGGUUUAAUUCGAUGCAACGCGAAGAACCUUACCUGGUCUUGACAUCCUGAGAACUUUCUAGAAAUAGAUUGGUGCCUUCGGGAACUCAGUGACAGGUGCUGCAUGGCUGUCGUCAGCUCGUGUCGUGAGAUGUUGGGUUAAGUCCCGUAACGAGCGCAACCCCUAUCCUUAUUUGCCAGCACAUCAUGGUGGGAACUAUAAGGAGACUGCCGGUGAUAAACCGGAGGAAGGCGGGGACGACGUCAAGUCAUCAUGGCCCUUACGACCAGGGCUACACACGUGCUACAAUGGGAAGGACAAAGAGCCGCGAAGCCGUGAGGUGUAGCUAAUCUCAGAAACCUUUUCGUAGUCCGGAUUGGAGUCUGCAACUCGACUCCAUGAAGUCGGAAUCGCUAGUAAUCGUAGAUCAGAAUGCUACGGUGAAUACGUUCCCGGGUCUUGUACACACCGCCCGUCAUACCAUGGGAGUGGGUUGCACCAGAAGUGGCUAGUCUAACUUUAUUGAGGACGGUCACCACGGUGUGAUUCAUGACUGGGGUA
Molecule: ribosomal RNA, 660 nt
Filed under: uncultured marine bacterium
Lineage: Bacteria
Description: bacterial SSU rRNA
Rfam family: Bacterial small subunit ribosomal RNA
Source: RNAcentral